GACGAACGCUGGCGGCGUGCUUAACACAUGCCAGUCGAACGGAAAGGCCCUGCUUUUGUGGGGUGCUCGAGUGGCGAACGGGUGAGUAACACGUGAGUAACCUGCCCUUGACUUUGGGAUAACUUCAGGAAACUGGGGCUAAUACCGGAUAGGAGCUCCUGCUGCAUGGUGGGGGUUGGAAAGUUUCGGCGGUUGGGGAUGGACUCGCGGCUUAUCAGCUUGUUGGUGGGGUAGUGGCUUACCAAGGCUUUGACGGGUAGCCGGCCUGAGAGGGUGACCGGCCACAUUGGGACUGAGAUACGGCCCAGACUCCUACGGGAGGCAGCAGUGGGGAAUAUUGCACAAUGGGCGGAAGCCUGAUGCAGCAACGCCGCGUGCGGGAUGACGGCCUUCGUGUUGUAAACCGCUUUCGCCUGUGACGAAGCGUGAGUGACGGUAAUGGGUAAAGAAGCACCGGCUAACUACGUG
Molecule: ribosomal RNA, 468 nt
Filed under: uncultured bacterium
Lineage: Bacteria
Description: partial 16S ribosomal RNA
Rfam family: Bacterial small subunit ribosomal RNA
Source: RNAcentral